RNAcentral lists this ribosomal RNA (253 nucleotides) under uncultured bacterium. RNAcentral's name for it is "partial 16S ribosomal RNA". It matches the Rfam family "Bacterial small subunit ribosomal RNA", at positions 524 to 776 of the family's 1533-position model. The record is from RNAcentral.
UACGUAGGGCGCAAGCGUUAUCCGGAAUUAUUGGGCGUAAAGAGCUCGUAGGCGGUUUGUCGCGUCUGCCGUGAAAGUCCGGGGCUCAACUCCGGAUCUGCGGUGGGUACGGGCAGACUAGAGUGAUGUAGGGGAGACUGGAAUUCCUGGUGUAGCGGUGAAAUGCGUAGAUAUCAGGAGGAACACCGGUGGCGAAGGCGGCGUUCUGGACUGUAACUGACACUGAGGAACGAAAGCCAGGGGAGCAAACGGG